GGACGAGCUUUCUCUCUCAGCCGUUGCUAUUGCCACUUCUCUUACCAAUGUCACCGGCUUCAGCCUCAUCGUAAAUUCCUCCUCCUCCUCCUCCUCCUUCUCUCUCGACUUAUAGACCUGUCCAAAGGACAAACAUGCUAAGCAAAAAAUUAGGGUCGCCAAAUUUUUUUUAUUUUUAAAUAUUAAUGCAACUUCACUUUUUUUAGUAGUUAUAUCUUUAGGACUACCAAUUUUUUGUUUUGAUAGAAACUUACACCUUUUCAAAGUUAUGGGAGUGUACACAUUUCUUGUUUCAUAACUAGGACCACUAUUUUUAUUGGACCGACUUUGCUGACUUAGAUCGUUAGUUUGGAUUGGCAGGUGCGUUAGAGACACUGUGUGGUCAAGCUUUUGGAGCUGGGCAAUUUAGGAAUAUCAGUGCAUACACUUACGGCUCAAUGCUAUGUCUUCUCUUGGUCUGUUUCCCAAUCUCACUUUUGUGGGUUUUUAUGGACAAACUCUUGGAGCUUUUCCAUCAAGAUCCUCUUAUCUCUCAAUUAGCUUGUAGAUACUCAAUCUGGCUCAUACCGGCUUUAUUCGGAUACUCUGUUCUUCAAUCUAUGACUCGAUUUUUCCAGUCACAAGGAUUGGUUCUACCUCUCUUCUUGAGCUCUCUUGGAGCUCUCUUUUUUCACGUUCCCUUUUCGUGGCUUCUUGUCUAUAAACUGAGAUUCGGAAUCGUCGGCGCCGCUUUGUCCAUAGGUUUUUCGUAUUGGCUCAACGUAGGUUUGCUUUGGGCUUUCAUGAGAGACUCUGCUCUCUAUCGAAAAAACUGGAAUCUUCGGGCACAAGAAAUCUUUUUGAGCAUGAAGCAGUUCAUUACCCUAGCAAUUCCCACUGCAAUGAUGACUUGGUAACAAAAUCCUCUAAAUUUUUUAAAUUUGUUUGUUUUGAUUUUCAAUGGAUCCCUGUCAUUAGGGCUUCUUGAUCUUUGGUCGUCAUUGGAUCUUUGAUUCUAUAUUUUAUGUUUUUUGGGCGUAUGUAAAGCCUGGAAUGGUGGUCGUUUGAGCUUCUUAUACUAAUGUCAGGACUCUUACCAAACUCAAAGCUCGAAACAUCGGUCCUAUCCAUUUGGUAUUGUACAGAUAUCACUUUCUACAAAUUUUAGUAUAACAUUUUUUCAUUCAAACAAGCUUUUGACCUCUCAGUCUUUAUUCUUUGAACAGCCUAACAAUGUCGUCUCUGCAUUACGUUAUCGUGAAUGCCAUAGGAGCAGCAGCGAGGUUUUAUAGUUUCCCAACUGUUCAUAACAAUCUAUCAUAUCUAUUUGUUCUUGAAACAUUUCUCUGAACCAUUGUUUUUGUCAUAUAAUAGCACACAUGUCUCAAACAAGCUAGGAGCUGGAAAUCCAAAGGCAGCUCGAUCUGCGGCUAAUUCUGCGAUUUUUCUUGGCAUGAUUGAUGCAGCCAUAGUAAGCAUCAGUCUCUACAGCUACAGAAGAAAUUGGGCUUAUAUAUUCAGUAAUGAGAGUGAAGUCGCUGACUAUGUCACUCAAAUCACACCCUUUCUCUGUCUAUCAAUUGGUGUUGACAGCUUUCUCGCCGUACUCUCAGGUAAACAGUUCACAUCAAAAUCGAAAGUCUGUAUACAUUAGAAUGUACAGAUCGAAGCCUUUGCAGCUGUUACUUGACCACCAAGAAAGCUAAAUGUUCUUGUUCUUAGAAACCCUAAAAUUCUUGCUUCUUCAGGAGUUGCUAGAGGAACAGGGUGGCAACAUAUAGGAGCUUAUGCAAACAUAGGAUCGUAUUAUCUAGUCGGGAUCCCGGUAGGUUCAAUCUUGUGUUUUGUAGUGAAAUUGAGAGGGAAAGGACUUUGGAUCGGUAUAUUGGUAGGUUCCACUCUACAAACGAUUGUUCUUGCUCUUGUCACUUUCUUCACCAAUUGGGAACAAGAGGUAUAUAUACCUUUGCCUUUUUUAUAUUGUAUUUUUCCUCUUCUGUUUUGCUAGAGUUUUGAAUCUUGUUCUGAUUUGGGUUUUAGGUAGCGAAGGCUAGAGACAGAGUAAUCGAGAUGAUACCACAAGAAAUCAUAUGAAAAGAAGAUGUACAACUUUUAUUCAAGGAUAUUUCAGAAAAUGUGUAAAAUACUAAACUUUAAGUAAAGUAUGGUCCGGUUUCUUUUAUUUGUCAAAUUUAACGGAUGUUGAUUAGCAACUGAAACUACUGGAUUCGUUGAAUGCACACAAGUUGAGAAAUUGAGAGCCAAACACACAUCUUGAAUUUUGAUUAUAGGGAGUUCUUCACAAAGUUUUGGUGAAUUAAUUAUUUUCUAUUUAUGGAAAUAAUUUUUCUUUUUUACACUUUCUUAAAUUUUCUUUCUGUAAAUACGUUGACUAUUUUAACCUUCUGUACAACGAAGGGAAACACAAAAUCACAUGCACAAGUUGUUUAAUCUGAUGCGGAUUCGUGUGGACAUAUAUAAAUUCACAUUCGUGUAUGACCAUAUUUUUGUUUUGAUAUUCAUUUAUACAAUUUUGUUUUAAUAUAUAUCGUCAGAGUGAAAAGGCAUAUGGGCUAUAUAUAUUCUUUUUUUCUAAACACUGCAUAGAAUUCUAAACAAAAUGAAAAUAUUUAAUCUGGUAAAAUAUACAUAUAAAAGUCAUAUCGCACGGAACAUGUUGCAUGAUGGAUAUUUCGGAGGAGUUCAAGGGAGAACCAACUAAGCAACGUUUCUACUAUGAGAAUGCCGUUUAAGAGCAGGCCAUAUUGUACAAGGUCCUAAAUUUCUGAAACUUUAACAUUAACUCUCUUUAAAAAAAAUAUAUCUUAAACACUUCUAAAAAUAAAAUAAUUUUGUUUGGCCACCUGAUUUCUCAGGACCGGCUCUAUUUGUGAGGCCACAUUGCAAGUUAAGAAAAUUCCAAAUGUUACUACACUAAUACCUUAAAGUCUCAACCUUGGACCCAAAAAUUCCGUGCUCCAUUUAUCGAUGGACUUAAAAGAGAAACUAAACAAGAGUUGUAAUACUAUGGGGUUUAGUCGGUAGACAAAGCCAUUGAUGUGACCAACUCACUCUUAAAUUUCUAAACUGUCGACCGACCCAGGACCUUCGAGAUGAGGGGAGUGUUGUAUUCGAUCCGGUCAACCUAAGACCUUCGAGAGAAAGGUGGGAUAUACACAAAGGUUGAGGAGAAAUUGAAAUUAGUACGUUUACAUCAACAUACUACGGUAAUUGUUAAUAUUGUAGGAAUUGUAGCUUUAAUAAACUACAAUAUAAUUUACUUUCAAUGAUUUUCAUGAUUUUUUUUUUUUAAUCCUAAUCUCUCCAGUUACAAAACAUGACCUUACUUAUAAAACCAUCAAACCUUAUGGAAUUCUUUAGCACAUAUAUGAUACAAUUGAAUGUAAAACUAUAAUCCCAUAUUUUAUCGUGGAAGAUGAUAAGCUUAAUGAGGUUCGAGUAACGGAGACGGACAAGAGACUUACUUACUUUGUUUGGUCUCCGAUUUGAGAAGACUACGAACACAAUACUACACUGGGAUUAGAGGUACCAUAUCCUUUCAGUCGGAUCCCCUGGCUCAUCUUCGUUUUCAACCCUUCAAUAGAUAUAUGACCCAACUGAUUAUAUACGGUCCUAAAAGGCUCCAUAUACAAAAUAAUACAUGUAAUAAAACUAGCGUUUUGAAAUUUAUAUAUUCAUAACUGUUUCAAUCACUCUCGUAACUAUGGAUGUAAGAUUGCUGGUUAUAUGGAUUUGUAUAGAUAAUAGUUAUAUCAAAAGCUUAAAAAAGAGACAAUAAAGCAAAUAAAAGGUGAUGACAGAAGGCUAGAGAGCACAAAGGAGUAAGAUGCAAAGAACAUGCUCCGAAUUGUAUCUCAUCAUCUGUGCUCUCUAUCUUCUGUCAACACUAUCAAUGCCUCUCAAUUCUCAAACAAUUAAAUAUCGAUAUUUUGAUUUACGAUUGAAAAAAAGAUAUUAAAAGAACAUGAUACAUACCUCUAUGAACAUCACGAACUUGAUAAAAAAGAAAUCAAAGUUGAUGAUCCUUUUUGCUAAUUAUACUCGCCAGUUUUUCAAUGGCAUAAGGCUUAUAUAAGAGAAUUAUAUGAUAUAGAUAUAUAUGGAUGGCGUAGAGAAGUACCAAAAGGGUUGUUGAUGAGAUGAUGAUGAUGAGAUUUCUUGAAGCCUCUAUUUAUAGACACAUAGAGAGCAACGAAAUGAUUUCUCUCCGCUCAAACUAAAAUCGAUCAUUAUUUUACACAAAUCUGGAAUAAUUGUUGUAAUUAAUUUAUUCGUUUGGUAUAUACAGCUUUUAAAUUUUAUUCUUAAA
RNAcentral lists this long non-coding RNA (4309 nucleotides) under Arabidopsis thaliana (thale cress). RNAcentral describes it as "long non-coding RNA (ATHA_LNC000622)". The record is from RNAcentral. Lineage: Eukaryota; Viridiplantae; Streptophyta; Magnoliopsida; Brassicales; Brassicaceae.